AGAGCAGCACUGGGUGUAAAGUGCGCGUAGGCGGACAUUUAAGUCAGGGGUGAAAUCCCAGAGCUCAACUCUGGAACUGCCUUUGAUACUGGGUGUCUUGAGUGUGAGAGAGGUAUGUGGAACUCCGAGUGUAGAGGUGAAAUUCGUAGAUAUUCGGAAGAACACCAGUGGCGAAGGCGACAUACUGGCUCAUUACUGACGCUGAGGCGCGAAAGCGUGGGGAGCAAACAGGAUUAGAUACCCUGGUAGUCCACGCCGUAAACGAUGAUUGCUAGUUGUCGGGCUGCAUGCAGUUCGGUGACGCAGCUAACGCAUUAAGCAAUCCGCCUGGGGAGUACGGUCGCAAGAUUAAACUUAAAAAUUAGACGG
RNAcentral lists this ribosomal RNA (369 nucleotides) under uncultured Brevundimonas sp. RNAcentral describes it as "bacterial SSU rRNA". It matches the Rfam family "Bacterial small subunit ribosomal RNA", at positions 545 to 916 of the family's 1533-position model. Lineage: Bacteria; Pseudomonadati; Pseudomonadota; Alphaproteobacteria; Caulobacterales; Caulobacteraceae. The record is from RNAcentral.